This 459-nucleotide ribosomal RNA is filed under the name uncultured bacterium. RNAcentral's name for it is "partial 16S ribosomal RNA". It matches the Rfam family "Bacterial small subunit ribosomal RNA", at positions 338 to 795 of the family's 1533-position model. The record is from RNAcentral.
CCUACGUGAGGCAGCAGUGAGGAAUAUUGGUCAAUGGCCGGAAGGCUGAACCAGCCAAGCCGCGUGAAGGACGAAGGUGCCAAGCAUUGUAAACCUCUUUUGUCAGGGAACAAAGGCGGGGACUAGUCCCCGGCUGAGGGUACCUGAAGAAAAAGCAUCGGCUAACUCCGUGCCAGCAGCCGCGGUAAUACGGAGGAUGCGAGCGUUAUCCGGAUUUAUUGGGUUUAAAGGGUGCGCAGGCGGCCUGUUAAGUCAGCGGUAAAAGCCCGGGGCUCAACCCCGGCGAGCCGUUGAAACUGGCGGGCUGGAGGUGGAGAGAAGUACGCGGAAGGCGCGGUGUAGCGGUGAAAUGCAUAGAUAUCACGCAGAACUCCGAUUGCGAAGGCAGCAUACCGGCGCCCUACUGACGCUGAGGCACGAAAGCGUGGGUAUCGAACAGGAUUAGAUACCCCAGUAGUC